GACGAACGCUGGCGGCGUGCCUAAUACAUGCCAGUCGAACGAGAGCGACCGGUGCUUGCACUGGUCAAUCUAGUGGCGAACGGGUGAGUAACACGUGGGUAACCUGCCCAUCAGAGGGGGAUAACAUCCGGAAACGGAUGCUAAAACCGCAUAGGUCUUCGAACCGCAUGGUUUGAAGAGGAAAAGAGGCGCAAGCUUCUGCUGAUGGAUGGACCCGCGGUGCAUUAGCUAGUUGGUGAGGUAACGGCUCACCAAGGCCGUGAUGCAUAGCCGACCUGAGAGGGUGAUCGGCCACAUUGGGACUGAGACACGGCCCAAACUCCUACGGGAGGCAGCAGUAGGGAAGCUUCCGCAAUGGACGCAAGUCUGACGGAGCAACGCCGCGUGAGUGAAGAAGGUUUUCGGAUCGUAAAACUCUGUUGUUAGAGAAGAACAAGUGCUAGAGUAACUGUUAGCGCCUUGACGGUAUCUAACCAGAAAGCCACGGCUAACUACGUG
Molecule: ribosomal RNA, 498 nt
Filed under: uncultured bacterium
Lineage: Bacteria
Description: partial 16S ribosomal RNA
Rfam family: Bacterial small subunit ribosomal RNA
Source: RNAcentral